GGGGAGCAAACAGGAUUAGAUACCCUGGUAGUCCACGCUGUAAACGUUGAUCACUCGUCGUUGGCAAUACAUCGUCAGCGGCUUAGCGAAAGCAGUAAGUGAUCCACCUGGGGAGUACGUCAGCAAUGAUGAAACUCAAAGGAAUUGACGGGGGCCCGCACAAGCGGAGGAACAUGUGGUUUAAUUCGAUGAUACGCGAGGAACCUUACAUGGGCUUAAAUGUAGAGUGCAUAGAGUGGAAACAUUCUUUUCCUUCGGGACCCUUUACAAGGUGCUGCAUGGUUGUCGUCAGCUCGUGCCGUGAGCUGUCGGGUUAAGUCCCAUAACGAGCGCAACCCCUAUCGUCAGUUGCCAUCACUUCGGGUGGGAACUCUGGCGAAACUGCCGGUGCAAACCGCGAGGAAGGUGGGGAUGACGUCAAAUCAGCACGGCCGUUAUGUCCAGGGCUACACACGUGUUACAAUGGCCGGUACAGUGGGACGCUACCACGCAAGUGGAGGCUAAUCUCUAAAACCGGUCGUAGUCCGGAUCGGAGUCUGCAACUCGACUCCGUGAAGCUGGAUUCGCUAGUAAUCGCACAUCAGCAAUGCUGCGGUGAAACGUUCCCGGGCAUUGACACACCGCCCGUCAAGCCAUGGAAGCUGGGGGUGCCUGAA
RNAcentral lists this ribosomal RNA (656 nucleotides) under uncultured organism. Its description in RNAcentral is "bacterial SSU rRNA". It matches the Rfam family "Bacterial small subunit ribosomal RNA", at positions 763 to 1425 of the family's 1533-position model. The record is from RNAcentral.